RNAcentral lists this ribosomal RNA (262 nucleotides) under Glomus sp. (unid). The record is from RNAcentral. Lineage: Eukaryota; Fungi; Glomeromycota; Glomeromycetes; Glomerales; Glomeraceae.
CAGUCGUACUAACGGGAAAUCAACCUAUUUGAGUUUGUGAGGUUUGGAUUCCGAAGGGUGUAAACCUUCGGGUUCGAAUAUUUGCUGCUUUUUAGGCGUAAUUUCUCGUUCGGUAGGUUAACAUCGAUUUUGAAGAUUAUAAAAUGGUUGGAGGAAUGUAGUUUCGAUCUCGUAUUGAAGUGUUAUAGCCUUCGGCAGAUGUGAUGAUCGAGAUUGAGGGUUGCAACGGAUACCCGUUCGGGGCUACCUGUCUGAUCUCUGA